CUAGCAGAAGAUUAUCCUCUUUUCUUACUGUAAUCUAAACUGGCAGAAUCAUAGGAUUUUUUUCCCUUUCACUUGUCUUAAAACUAAAAGCCUUUGAAUGUUCUGAAAGAAUAACUAAUAAGCUGCCAUUUACUUUUCGUCUCACUUAAAGGUAGUCUCCUGGUGUUUAACCUAUCAUGGGUUCCUAAGAGUUUCCUGAGCAGCCUAGUUCUGAAAUUCUCUGAAACACACUUUGAAACGCAGCUUAUAACAAAAUAGAUUACACAUUAAAAAAAAAAAACAACCUGAGUAUGUGUGUGUGCAGGAAAGAAAGCAAAUUUUGUUUGUACUCAUUUGUACAUUGCAUUACCAUAAGUUUUACCCUUUCCAAAUAAUAUGCAGAUGGAAAAUUAGGGAACAUGCUGCUGUAAAUCAUUGUUAGUGCUUUGGUGGUGGCAGGAGAAAGCAGUUAAGGGAUUCAUUUUUCUUCCAAGAAAAUAAUUCUUUUUAAAUCCAUCUGAAUCACAGCCAAAGGAUUACUUCUUAUCUGGCUAUAAUAAAUACUCUUUCCACCCAUCUUGUAUGUAAUAAGAAA
RNAcentral lists this long non-coding RNA (574 nucleotides) under Marmota monax (woodchuck). The record is from RNAcentral. Lineage: Eukaryota; Metazoa; Chordata; Mammalia; Rodentia; Sciuridae.